This 519-nucleotide ribosomal RNA is filed under the name uncultured eukaryote. Its description in RNAcentral is "SSU rRNA". It matches the Rfam family "Eukaryotic small subunit ribosomal RNA", at positions 1161 to 1704 of the family's 1831-position model. The record is from RNAcentral.
AGGGCGCCACCAGGAGUGGAGCCUGCGGCUUAAUUUGACUCAACACGGGAAAACUCACCCGGCCCGGACACCGUAAGGAUUGACAGACUGAGAGCUCUUUCUUAAUUCGGUGGGUGGUGGUGCAUGGCCGUUCUUAGUUGGUGGAGCGAUUUGUCUGGUUAAUUCCGAUAACGAACGAGACUCUGGCCUAUUAAAUAGGCGAUACAUAGAAAAGUGUAUCGAACUUCUUAGAGGGACAAGCGGCGUCUAGCCGCAUGAAAUAGAGCAAUAACAGGUCUGUGAUGCCCUUAGAUGUCCGGGGCUGCACGCGCGCUACACUGAAAGAGUCAGCGUGCGUUUUACCUAGUUCGGAAGAACCGGGUAACCCAAGUAAAUUCUUUCGUGCUUGGGAUAGGGAAUUGCAAUUAUUUCCCUUAAACGAGGAAUUCCCAGUAAAUGCGGGUCAUAAGCUCGCGUUGAUUACGUCCCUGCCCUUUGUACACACCGCCCGUCGCUACUACCGAUUGGAUGACUUAGUGA